RNAcentral lists this ribosomal RNA (406 nucleotides) under uncultured bacterium. RNAcentral describes it as "partial 16S ribosomal RNA". It matches the Rfam family "Bacterial small subunit ribosomal RNA", at positions 30 to 526 of the family's 1533-position model. The record is from RNAcentral.
AUUGAACGCUUGCGGCAGGCCUAACACAUGCAAGUCGAACGAGUGGCGGACGGGUGAGUAAUGUCUGGGAAACUGCCCGAUGGCGGGGGAUAACUACUGGAAACGGUAGCUAAUACCGCAUACCAUCGGAUGUGCCCAGAUGGGAUUAGCUAGUAGGUGGGGUAACGGCUAACCUAGGCGACGAUCCCUAGCUGGUCUGAGAGGAUGACCGGCAACACUGAAACUGAGACACGGUCCAGACUCCUACGGGAGGCAGCAGUAGGGAAUAUUGCACAAUGGGCGCGAGCCUGAUGCAGCCAUGCCGCGUGUAUGGAGAAGGCCUUCGGGUUGUAAAGUACUUUCAGCGAGGAGGCGUUACUCGCAGAAGAAGCACCGGCUAACUCCGUGCCAGCAGCCGCGGUAAUUC